RNAcentral lists this unclassified non-coding RNA (354 nucleotides) under uncultured Psathyrellaceae. RNAcentral's name for it is "sequence contains ITS1". The stretch from base 1 to 105 matches the Rfam family "5.8S ribosomal RNA", at positions 50 to 154 of the family's 154-position model. Lineage: Eukaryota; Fungi; Basidiomycota; Agaricomycetes; Agaricales; Psathyrellaceae. The record is from RNAcentral.
GAAACGCGAUAGGUAAUGUGAAUUGCAGAAUUCCGUGAAUCAUCGAAUCUUUGAACGCACCUUGCGCUCCAUGGUAUUCCGUGGAGCAUGCCUGUUUGAGUGCCGUGAAUUCUCUCUCCCCAAGCGGUUGCGAUUGCGCUGCUUGGCGGAUAGGUUGGAUAUGGGGGCUUGUGCAGAAUGUGUCAAAGCGGACUGCUCCCCUUAAAUGAAUUAGCGAGUUCUAACUGGGCUCCGUCUAUUGGUGUGAUAAUUAUCUACGCCAUGGAUUGGGCUUAGACUCGCUUCUAAUCGUCUGCAAGGACAAUCUUUUGACAAUUUGACCUCAAAUCAGGUAGGACUACCCGCUGAACUUAA